ACGCACGCUGGCGGCGUGCUUAACACCUGCAAGUCGAGCGGUGAAGCGCCUUCCUUUUUGGUGGGUGUGGAUGAGUGGCGAACGGGUGAGUAACACGUGAGUAACCUGCCCCCUUCUUCUGGAUAACCGCAUGAAAGUGUGGCUAAUACGGGAUAUUCUGGGUCUGUCGCAUGAUGGGUCUGGGAAAGAUAUUGUUUCGGUGGGGGAUGGGCUCGCGGCCUAUCAGCUUGUUGGUGGGGUGAUGGCCUACCAAGGCGGUGACGGGUAGCCGGCCUGAGAGGGUGGACGGUCACACUGGGACUGAGACACGGCCCAGACUCCUACGGGAGGCAGCAGUGGGGAAUAUUGCACAAUGGGCGCAAGCCUGAUGCAGCGACGCCGCGUGAGGGAUGGAGGCCUUCGGGUUGUGAACCUCUUUCGCCAGUGAAGCAGGCCUGCCUCGUUUGUGGGUGGGUUGACGGUAGCUGGAGAAGAAGCGCCGGCUAACUACGUG
This 493-nucleotide ribosomal RNA is filed under the name uncultured bacterium. RNAcentral describes it as "partial 16S ribosomal RNA". It matches the Rfam family "Bacterial small subunit ribosomal RNA", at positions 29 to 507 of the family's 1533-position model. The record is from RNAcentral.